UCUCCGUUGGUGAACCAGCGGAGGGAUCAUUACCGAGUUUACAACUCCCAAACCCCUGUGAACAUACCAUUUGUUGCCUCGGCGGUGCCUGCUUCGGCAGCCCGCCAGAGGACCCAAACCCUUGAUUUUAUUCAGUAUCUUCUGAGUAAAUGAUUAAAUAAAUCAAAACUUUCAACAACGGAUCUCUUGGUUCUG
Molecule: unclassified non-coding RNA, 195 nt
Filed under: plant metagenome
Description: partial contains small subunit ribosomal RNA, internal transcribed spacer 1, and 5.8S ribosomal RNA
Source: RNAcentral